This 322-nucleotide ribosomal RNA is filed under the name uncultured soil bacterium. Its description in RNAcentral is "bacterial SSU rRNA". It matches the Rfam family "Bacterial small subunit ribosomal RNA", at positions 29 to 338 of the family's 1533-position model. The record is from RNAcentral.
AACGAACGCUGGCGGCGCGCCUAAUACAUGCAAGUCGAGCGAGAAGACGUAGCAAUACGUUUGUAAAGCGGCGAACGGGUGAGGAAUACAUGGGUAACCUACCCUUGAGUGGGGAAUAACUAGCCGAAAGGUUAGCUAAUACCGCAUACGACUCUCGGUCUGCGGAUCGGGAGAGAAAGCGAUACCGUGGGUAUCGCGCUCUUGGAUGGGGCUCAUGUCCUAUCAGCUUGUUGGUGAGGUAACGGCUCACCAAAGGCUUUCGACGGGUAGCUGGUCUGAGAGGACGAUCAGCCACACUGGCACUGCGACACGGGCCAGACUC